Molecule: ribosomal RNA, 547 nt
Filed under: uncultured Glaciecola sp.
Lineage: Bacteria; Pseudomonadati; Pseudomonadota; Gammaproteobacteria; Alteromonadales; Alteromonadaceae
Description: bacterial SSU rRNA
Rfam family: Bacterial small subunit ribosomal RNA
Source: RNAcentral
CACGGGGGGCCUACGGGAGGCAGCAGUGGGGAAUAUUGCACAAUGGGGGAAACCCUGAUGCAGCCAUGCCGCGUGUGUGAAGAAGGCCUUCGGGUUGUAAAGCACUUUCAGUUGUGAGGAAAGGUUAACGGUUAAUACCCGUUAGCUGUGACGUUAGCAACAGAAGAAGGACCGGCUAACUCCGUGCCAGCAGCCGCGGUAAUACGGAGGGUCCGAGCGUUAAUCGGAAUUACUGGGCGUAAAGCGCACGCAGGCGGUUUGUUAAGCUAGAUGUGAAAGCCCUGGGCUCAACCUGGGAAUUGCAUUUAGAACUGGCAGGCUAGAGUUUUGGAGAGGGGAGUGGAAUUCCAGGUGUAGCGGUGAAAUGCGUAGAUAUCUGGAGGAACAUCAGUGGCGAAGGCGACUCCCUGGUCAGUAACUGACGCUCAUGUGCGAAAGUGUGGGUAGCGAACAGGAUUAGAUACCCUGGUAGUCCACACCGUAAACGCUGUCUACUAGCUGUUUGUGGAUUUAAUCCGUGAGUAGCGAAGCUAACGCGAUAAGUAGA